RNAcentral lists this ribosomal RNA (253 nucleotides) under uncultured bacterium. Its description in RNAcentral is "partial 16S ribosomal RNA". It matches the Rfam family "Bacterial small subunit ribosomal RNA", at positions 524 to 776 of the family's 1533-position model. The record is from RNAcentral.
UACAGAGGUGGCAAGCGUUGUUCGGAAUUACUGGGCGUAAAGGGCGCGUAGGCGGCCUUCUAAGUCGGACGUGAAAUCCCCAGGCUUAACUUGGGAACUGCGUCCGAUACUGGAGGGCUCGAGUGCGGGAGAGGGAUGUGGAAUUCCAGGUGUAGCGGUGAAAUGCGUAGAUAUCUGGAGGAACACCGGUGGCGAAGGCGGCAGCCUGGACCGACACUGACGCUGAUGCGCGAAAGCCAGGGGAGCAAACGGG